UNUGACUUGAGUGCAGAAGGGGAGAGUGGAAUUCCAUGUGUAGCGGUGAAAUGCGUAGAUAUAUGGAGGAACACCAGUGGCGAAAGCGGCUCUCUGGUCUGUCACUGACGCUGAGGCUCGAAAGCGUGGGUAGCGAACAGGAUUAGAUACCCUGGUAGUCCACGCCGUAAACGAUGAGUGCUAGGUGUUAGGCCCUUUCCGGGGCUUAGUGCCGGAGCUAACGCAAUAAGCACUCCGCCUGGGGAGUACGACCGCAAGGUUGAAACUCAAAGGAAUUGACGGGGGCCCGCACAAGCGGUGGAGCAUGUGGUUUAAUUCGAAGCAACGCGAAGAACCUUACCAGGUCUUGACAUCCCGAUGCUAUUCUUAGAGAUAGGAAGUUACUUCGGUACAUCGGAGACAGGUGGUGCAUGGUUGUCGUCAGCUCGUGUCGUGAGAUGUUGGGUUAAGUCCCGCAACGAGCGCAACCCUUAUUGUUAGUUGCCAUCAUUAAGUUGGGCACUCUAGCGAGACUGCCGGUAAUAAACCGGAGGAAGGUGGGGAUGACGUCAAAUCAUCAUGCCCCUUAUGACCUGGGCUACACACGUGGUACAAUGGUCGGUACAACGAGUUGCGAGCCGGUGACGGCAAGCUAAUCUCUGAAAGCCGACCUCAGUUCGGAUUGGAGGCUGCAACUCGCCUCCAUGAAGUCGGAAUCGCUAGUAAUCGCGGAUCAGCACGCCGCGGUGAAUACGUUCCCGGGCCUUGUACACACCGCCCGUCACACCACGAGAGUUUGUAACACCCGAAGUCGGUGAGGUAACCUUUUAGGGGCCAGCC
RNAcentral lists this ribosomal RNA (819 nucleotides) under uncultured bacterium. RNAcentral describes it as "bacterial SSU rRNA". It matches the Rfam family "Bacterial small subunit ribosomal RNA", at positions 636 to 1454 of the family's 1533-position model. The record is from RNAcentral.